AAAAAUUCUCUCAGUAGUCAUCAACGGAAAAAUGAUCAAACUACUACAGGGGGAGGCAGCUGGGCAAUAUUUGACCAGCUACGCAUGGGCCUAAUUUCCCCUCUCAUUAUAUCAUACAGAUUUUCUCAGCAUUCUAUCAACUUGAACCUCUCAAAAUGUUACUCGCAUAUGGAAAUACUUUCAAGCUUCUUUCCCAGCAGAAAACGGAGAGAAGUCCCUCAGGAGCAUAUGCGCAUUCCAAGACACCAACGAAAAGAAUAGUCCAACGAGUGGAUUUACAGGGGGAUGGCUCGAUUGCAAAAAUUAAAGACAUGCUCCACAAGGUGGAGCUAUCCGCUUCUCCCUAUGAUACUGCUUGGGUAGCUAUGGUCCCAGCCGGAGAUUCAUCAAACCAGUCCCGUUUUCCGGAAUGCUUAAAUUGGAUUUUGGAGAAUCAGAAUCCUGAUGGGUCAUGGGCUUUUCACCCAAGCGAUCCCUUGCUAGUCAAGGACUCCCUUUCUUCCACAUUAGCAUGCAUACUUGCUCUUCAAAAAUGGAACGUUGGCCAACGACUCGUAAACAGAGGUCUCGACUUUAUUGGAUCCAAUAAAUGGGCGGCCACGGACAGUAAACAAAAGUGUCCAAUCGGCUUCGAUGUUAUAUUUCCUGGCAUGAUCGAACGGGCACAACACAUGGGCUUGGCUCUUCCAAUUAACACAUAUUCACUAGAUGCAAUGCUUAACAAGCGAGACUUGGA
RNAcentral lists this unclassified non-coding RNA (736 nucleotides) under Hevea brasiliensis (rubber tree). The record is from RNAcentral. Lineage: Eukaryota; Viridiplantae; Streptophyta; Magnoliopsida; Malpighiales; Euphorbiaceae.